AAGACUAACUUAUGCGAAAGCAUUCACCAAGGAUGUCUUCUUUAAUCAAGAACGAAAGUUGGGGGAUCGAAGACGAUCAGAUACCGUCGUAGUCUCAACCAUAAACUAUGCCGACUAGGGAUGAGUGAACGUUGCUUAUUCGACUUCAUUCGCACCUUAUGAGAAAUCAAAGUCUUUGGGUUCCGGGGGGAGUAUGGUCGCAAGGCUGAAACUUAAAGGAAUUGACGGAAGGGCACACCAGGAGUGGAGCCUGCGGCUUAAUUUGACUCAACACGGGAAAAC
This 282-nucleotide ribosomal RNA is filed under the name uncultured fungus. Its description in RNAcentral is "partial 18S ribosomal RNA". It matches the Rfam family "Eukaryotic small subunit ribosomal RNA", at positions 932 to 1214 of the family's 1831-position model. The record is from RNAcentral. Lineage: Eukaryota; Fungi.